Long non-coding RNA from Carya illinoinensis, 7280 nucleotides. RefSeq lists it as uncharacterized. The record is from RefSeq and is a predicted model, not a curated record. The transcript is spliced from 2 exons. Lineage: Eukaryota; Viridiplantae; Streptophyta; Magnoliopsida; Fagales; Juglandaceae.
CAUGUCCCUUAAAACUUUCAUAUUGAAUUAGCGGGAAACCCUCUCUCGCUAGUGGAAACCGUCCUAUUCUCACUAGAACCUUCUCCCCAUUCUCUCCCUCACUCCCGUAACUCUCUCUCACUCAUGUAACUCUCACUCCCGAUCACUCCCAACGUAAGACCCCGCGAUCUACCGUUCGAGAAACUCCCACUCUCCUCAAACCUGAUCACACCCGAAAUCCCUCUCCCGUUUCACUCUCUCACUUCUGAAAUCCCUCUUCCCAUUUUUAUUCUAGAUCUCACUCCCAAAACCCCUCACGAAACCCCUACCGAUUGACAUUCACCACUCCCUCUCCACAACUGAGCCCCCGUGAAGCAUCUCCUCCUCAAUGACAGCCACAAAAACCCUCGACGACAACUUGGUUGUUAAUUUCUGUGGUUUUUCUCUUCUCCUAACUCUCAUAAUUUUUUGUGGUUGUUAAUUUCUUGCUUAUUUUAUUACUGUUGAGCAUGGUUAUUAUUUUAUUUGUGAUCUGAUGGAGAUUUCUUGAUUAAUUUCUUCCAUGGUUAUUGUUGAUUUCUUUUUUGUUUGAAAAAAUAGUAAGAGAAGAAAAACGGGGACUUUUUCAUUUUGAUGGAGAUUUCUUGAUUUUUUUUUUUUAACAUGGCAGCUGAUGUUGUAGCUAUUACCUUUGCCAUAGAAAUUGGGAGAUGACUACAUAUUGUAGGGCUAUGCAUAUUGAUGAGAUUUCUUGAUUUUGUUUGAACGUGAUUUUUUUGUUUGAACAUGGUAGCUAACGUUAUGCAUAACAGGACAAGAGAACUGUAACAUUGCUGAUAAUGGAUGUAACGAAAUGAUAGAAAUAGAUAGGAAAUAGCACUGCUUUCUUCGAGGUAAAGCUCCUCCAAUACAUAGAGAGAAGAGAAAUAGGGUUUUUUUUUGUAUAUUAACUUUUGUAUAUUAACUUUCAGAUAAUUCCAAACAGGUUCUAGGUGCCAAAUGUAAAUGACUCUCUACUGGGUUAAGAGGCCUUAACAUACGAACUCAACAAUUAAAAGACUCGGGCUCAUGGCCCACUUACACAGAUUGAAUACGUAAAUAACAUCAUAGACCCACUAGGGCCAAUCUUUCAUUGCUUUUAGUUUCUAGGGAUCUAUCCGCACUCCUUCCACAGAUAUGAGAUGGCCCAAAUAGGCUACUUCCUUGCAUCCAAAGUGACAUUUGGAUCGCUUAGCGUAAAUUUUUGUUGUUGCAGUACGUUAAGGGUAACUUAGAGGUGUUGCACAUGUUCCUCCACUGUUUUACUGUACAUAAGAAUAUCAUUAAAAAAAAGUAUGAAUUUUCUCAAAUGGGGCCUAAAUACCUCGUUCAAGAGGCUUUGGAAGGUGGAUGAUGCAUUAGUUAGCCCAAAAGCCAUAACGAAGAAUUCAUAGUGGUUUUCAUGCUUCCUAAAUGCUGUCUUGGGAACAUCUUCUGUUUUAACAAGGAUUUAGUGGUAGCCCGACCUCAAAUCCAACUUUGAAAAAUUUUUUGCUCCAUAUAGUUCAUCCAUAAGCUCUUCCACCAUCAAAAUAGGGUAUUUAUCAUUCAUGGUGACAUUAUUUAGGCCUCGGUAGUCGACACAUAAUCUACACGUACCAUCUGCCUUACAGACUUGCAACACUGGGGAUGAAUAGGAACUUUGACCAGGCUGUAUAACCCCAGUCGAUAGGAGUUCCUGCACUAUUUUUUCAAUCUCUUCCUUUUGGUAAUAGGGGUAUAGAUAGGGCCUUAGGGAGAUGGGCUUGGUUCCGGGUAGUAAGUUUAUGACAUGGUCGUAGGUUCAGGAUGGGGGCAAUCCCUUGGGAUCUAAAAAUACAUCAGUGAAUUGCUAUAACAGUGGUUGUAAAUCUGCUAGAACAGCUUCUAUACCUGCUGAGUUGGUAGGUUUCACCUCUUUAAUCACUUGUAAAAUUAUGCCCCUUUUUUCCAACCCAUCAAGCUUCUUGAAAGUUCUUUCUUUGAUCAUUUUAGCCCCUACCAAUCUUUGCAUGGAGACAUCUUUUCCUAGGAACUGAAAGUCUGAAACUACAUUAUUAACUUUUCAAAGUUCCAUAAAAUUGACCCCAAGUCUCUUAGCCAAUUAAUUCCCAAGACCAUGUCUUAGCCCGCCAUGACCAAUACAUGGACAUCCACAGUGAAAACAAUCCCCUGAAUUAACACUUUGACACCCUUACAUUUCCCUUCACUAGGUAGUAAUUCCCUAUUGGCAACUCUCAUCUUCAACCUCUCAUUGACGUCAAGAGGAAGUUUAUUUCUUUUUAUAACUACUGGGUCCAAAAAAAUGUGAGUAGACCUUGUAUCCACCAAGAUAGUAACCCAUUGGUUGCCAAUUCUUCCCUUCACCCGCAUGGUUCUCAAGUUGUGAGACCCAAUUAGUGCAUGGAGUGAAAUUUCGGGGCUACUUUGGGUGCAGCAAGAUCAGGGGGUGGUGUUUCCUCACCUUGGCCACUAUCACACGGCUUAUCAUCACAAGCCACUGUCAAUUCAUUUUCCAGCAACACGUCCUCCAACAAGUACAACUUAGGCCUUUGGCACUUGUGCCCUAGGUGCCAUUUUGCAUCACAAUAAUAACAUAGUUCCUUCUCCCUCCUAUCUUGCAUUUGUUGUUAGUUAAUUUUAUGUAUGGGUAGGGAUGGUUUUGAAAAUGGUUUGUUGGCAUUUGGUGUUUUAUUAUGGAAAAAUGGUGGCUGGUUGGGAGUUUUGAGGAUACUAGGGUUUGGGGAGUAGUUAAGGCUAAAUCUGGUUGGGUUUUUCGUGGUUGGGUUGAUCUUUUCUUCGAUUUUGGAUAAUCUGUAGGCUGAGGUUAAAUCAUGAGGAGACAUUUUAACAGUCAACUGAAUGUCAUCUCUUAGCCCACUAAUAAAGCAAUUGAGUUUGUAGGGGUCUGUCAAUGCCUUUAAUUUGUUAGCUAAGGUUUCAAACCUUGCUUUGUACUCCUCUAUAGACCCAUUUUGUCUCAGUUUUGCCAGGGCCUCCAUGAGGUCAUCAUAUAAAUUAGGGCAAAAUCUCACUAAUAAGGUCUUAAUAAAAGUGUCCAAAUCAUGAACUUGUCUGGAUUCUUCUAACCCUUGGAACCAAGUGAGGACCUUACCCUCCAUGGGAAAUUAGGCAAGUCUUAGCUUGUAUUGUGGUAGUGUGUUAUGAAAAGUAAAAAACUAAUGCACUUUAUAAAUCCAACCAGUAGGAUCUUGUUGUGCACCGAAAAAUCAAGUCUGAUGGUAUGAGCUUGGAUCUCACCAUAGGGUUGAUAUAGGCCCUGCUCCUUACAGUUCUGAACAUCCGAAGAAGAGUCUCCAUUGUUGUUUUGCCUUUGCAUUUUCGUAGUCAAGCCUGUGAGCUAUUGCAUAACAGUAUCCAACCGCCUUUUCAUGGUUGUCACCUCUAUUUCCAGCACCUUGUUUAUUUUUUUCACAGCAUUAAGACCAUGUUGUAGUUGGUUCAUUCUUGUGCCUUCAGCCGUGUAUGUAAUAUUGAGAUACAGAGAAUUGGUAUCUCUGAUACCACUUGUAACACUACUGAUAAUGGAUGUAACAGAAUGAUAGAAAUAGAUAGGAAAUAGCGUUGCUUUCUUCGAGGGAAACGCCUCCCGUAUGUAGAGAGAAGAGAAAUAGAGUUUUUUUUAUUAACUUUCAGAUAAUUCCAAACAGGUUCCAGGUACCAAAUGUAAAGGACUCUCUACUGGGCCAACAGGCCUUAACAUACGGCUCAACAAUUAAAAGACUCAGGGUCAUGGCCCACUUACACAGACUUAAUAUGUAAAUAACAUCAUAGACCCACUAACACUAAGCCUACACAGGCAAGCCCCUGGCCCAUGAACCCAGCCGUGUAUUUCCCCCUUUGAACACAACAGAACACUUAGAACAACCACUUAACACAGAACACUUAGAGUUCCUUCCUUCUAUCAGUCAUCUUCACAUGGUUUAGGGUUUGACUACCCAGCUCCACCAUGUCGUGCGCUGCACCGCCACUCCUUCCACCAUCUAAGCCGAUGGCCGUUACAAAAUCCUUUGUUUGAUCAUGGUAGCUGAUUUUUUGUUAGUAUAUUUCGUUUAAUAAAUUUAGGUAUUCAUGACCAAAAACUUUGGUGUUGGUUAUUAUAGAAAAACCUUUAACUAAUUCAGAACAUAUUAAAACUUAGGACAGAAAAAUCUUUAACUAAUUCAAGACAGAUAUCGGACACAAAAACAUAACAGAUUUAGGACACUGAAACACAAAGACUGCCACCAUCAACCUUUAACUAAUUCAGGACAUAUUUAAAACCUUUAAUUAAUUAAGUUUCACAUAUUAUGUAUUAGGUUGAUAGAUGAAAAUGUAUGAACUUUUGAUAUACUUUUAUGAACUUAUGUAGUAGCUAUGAAUUUUUUGAUAAAAUUAAGUUUUGACAGAUUAUGAAGUUAAUUUAGAAAGAUAGAUGGAUUUUAUGUAUUUUAAUAUAGAGAUUGUUGGAAAUUAUGAAUAUUAAAAUAAAAAGUAUUUUAAAAAUAACUAAAUAAUGCAUUAAAAAGUAUAUAUAAGAAUUAAAAAAAAUAUAUUAUAUAUUACUACAGAGAGUAAAAUAACUAAUCCAAUUUGAAGUCCAAGUUUAAAGUCAUUAGGCAUAAAGCAAAAAGUGGCAUAUUAGCCAAACUUUACCAAAAACUUUGCCUAAGCCAAUGAGAGUGGUCCCUUUGAGCCCAUCGCUGAGUCAACCCCCUCUUUACACAAGAAUAUAACUCUGUAAGCGUGCCUAUUGGUUUUAAUAUUUAUACAAGUGGCUUUUAUUUUGUUUGUGUAGUUAGAUAAACUUCAUGUAUAUAAGUACAUGAGUUAGCCUUCAUUUGUACAUAUAGUUCUUACAUAAUACAAUAUUACUUCUCUCCUUUUUCUUACUUUCUUGCCUUCUGCUAUUCUGUUAUGGUAUUAGAAAAAAAUUGAAUGAAGCUUUGUCCAUGGGUGUUUUGUCCACUUCUGCUUCACUUUCCUCUGUAGAUGAUGUUUCUAACCCACACUUUUUGCCUCACGAUGAUGCUCCAAGUGCUUAAUUCAUAACUCAACCACUCCCUGACUACAAUUAUUAUACAUGGGAUAGGUCUAUGACUAUGAUACUCAUCGCCAAGAACAAACUUUGUUUUGUUGAUGGCACUCUACCACAACCUUCUAAGAAUGAUCCAUUGUUCCAUUCCCAGAUUCGGUUCGAUACAAUGGUAUUUUCAUGGCUUUUGAACUCUUUAACAAAAGAAAUCGCUGCAAGUGUGAUCUUCAUUGAAUCUGCUGAUAAUGUAAGGAAGGAACAUUGUGAAUGCUUCUCUCAUUGCAACAAUAUUCAGAUCUUUCAACUUCGGAAGGCCAUUUUUAGUUUAACUCAAGAACAGUCCUCUGUCAAUGCUUAUUUUACUCAUCUGAAUGCAAUAUGGAAUGAAAUACAUAAUUAUCACCCUUUUUCAAUGUGUUCUUGUGGUGCUAUGAAAACUGUGGUGGACUUUCACCAACAAGAAUAUGUUCUACAAUAUUUGAUGGGCAUCAAUGAGUCUUUUACUAAUACUCGAGGUCAGAUCUUGUUAUACGAUCCUCUCUCUUCUAUUAACAAAGUCUUUUCACUUGUUGUUCAAGAAGAGAGACAACGUUAGAUUAGUCAAUCUAUUUUUGACAAUUUUGUGCCUGAACCAAUGGAUAUGAUUACACAAUCACAGCCUCUCAAAAUAAGUUCUCUAGAAACAAGGCAAUUAUUGUAGGGUAAGCCUUAUUUUAGCCAUUGUGGGAUCCAGGGUCAUACAAUUGAAAAAUGUUUCCGAAUAUGUUGCUUCUCACCUAGCUUCAAGUUCACCAAGAACAAGCAACUUUCUAACAAAUUUGAACCUCAUUCUACAAAUCAAAUUUCCACUAAUAAUUCUACAACCAGUUAUGGUCCAAUCAUGCCAUUCUCUCAAGAGCAGUCCCAACAUCUUAUUUCUAGGCUUCAAUCUCAAUCUCCUUUACAUAAUAAACCUUCUUUUUUCACCAAAUCAAGUAUCUGCUAAUCAUGUAGGUACUAUUUCUUCAUCUGAGAGUGCCUUAAGUUCAUCUAUUCCUUCUUUCUGAGAACCUCUCAACCUAGAAGACGAUUUAAGUGGGUAAACAAAAUCAAGGUCUUUAUCAUUACUGCAAGAUUCACACCAAACUGUUGAUGAUUCUUCUGUUUCUUUUUCCCAUUGUUAUUCUAGUAAAUCUAUUAAUAAUACCUUUGAACCAUGGCAUCGUAUUGGUAUUUCUACGAUAAUUACCCAAAUAUAAUGUGUUAGGGCUUUGUACCUUAUGUCACCAAUUGGAGCAUGCCUCUUUUCUUGGUGAUCAUUGAACUUUUUUUAUAGCUGGGAGAAGAAGACCAUAUAAUUAUAUAGAGUAAUGAUUUGUAUGCACUUCAAAUACACAAGUUCACAGUCACUUUAUUAAAAAGUGGACGUGACCACUUUACAAAAGUGUAAAAAAAUCUAUUGGUUUUUUAGAAACCUACUUAAAGAAAACGAUGUUUUGUAAUUAUCUCUCCUUUUUUAGAGUGUCUCUAGUUUGUUUUAUUUAUUUUCUUGGAAUAUUACAGCUUACCAUAAUCUAUACAAGGAGGAAGUAAAACAGAGUACAUAUGGCAUGAGUAAAAUUGGAGAGCAGUGCAAGGGUAAAGAGCAUAUAUGUCAUGAUUUAAGGUUGCUGCAUUAGGAAGCUUGGGAGCCGUUGUGUUGUAAUCGUCCACGAUUUUCUUCAAUAAUUGCUACUUGGUUUGUAAACUUUUAACCGUUGGCUUGAGGUUGAUUAUUAUUUUCAAUACCUCCUGCAAACUGAGCUAAUGAAUGAGGUUGAGGUUGGGAGGAUAAAACAAGUAAAGGGUUUUGUGAAAAUAUCGGCAACUUGCGAGGAAGAAUGAACAUGUUGUGUUUGAAGAAGCACGAGUGUAACCCGUUCUCGAACAUAGUGAUAAUCAACUUAAAUAUGUUUACUGUGAGAAUGGAGCACUGGAUUGCAAGGUAGAUAAAGAGCACUAAGAUUGUCACAAAAUAAAGUAGGUGCUUUUGGUAAACUAACACCAAGAUCAUGAAGAAGCAAGGUGAGCCAAGUCAGUUCAGUAAUUGUGUGAGCCAUAGCACAAUAUUCAGCUUCAGUGUUGGAUCUUCAUACUGUACUUUAUUUUUUGCACAUCAAAAGAUGCAUAUGUUGCUAAGAAAGGUAUAGAAACUGAUGGUGGGCAUCCUGCCUAACCAGCGUAAAAAAAGGCAUUUAUUCAAUGUUUUGGAGUGUAAUUCAAUGCUGAA